CAGCAGUGGGGAAUAUUGCACAAUGGGCGCAAGCCUGAUGCAGCCAUGCCGCGUGUGUGAAGAAGGCCUUCGGGUUGUAAAGCACUUUCAGUCGUGAGGAAGGCGGGUACGUUAAUAGCGUAUUCGUUUGACGUUAGCGACAGAAGAAGCACCGGCUAACUCCGUGCCAGCAGCCGCGGUAAUACGGAGGGUGCGAGCGUUAAUCGGAAUUACUGGGCGUAAAGCGCAUGCAGGUGGUUUGUUAAGUCAGAUGUGAAAGCCCCGGGGCUCAACCUCGGAAUAGCAUUUGAAACUGGCAGACUAGAGUACUGUAGAGGGGGUAGAAUUUCAGGUGUAGCGGUGAAAUGCGUAGAGAUCUGAAGGAAUACCGGUGGCGAAGGCGGCCCCCUGGACAGAUACUGACACUCAGAUGCGAAAGCGUGGGGAGCAAACAGGAUUAGAUACCCUGGUAG
This 452-nucleotide ribosomal RNA is filed under the name uncultured bacterium. RNAcentral's name for it is "bacterial SSU rRNA". It matches the Rfam family "Bacterial small subunit ribosomal RNA", at positions 349 to 793 of the family's 1533-position model. The record is from RNAcentral.